UGGGGAAUCUUGGACAAUGGGGGCAACCCUGAUCCAGCCAUGCCGCGUGAGUGAUGAAGGCCUUAGGGUCGUAAAGCUCUUUCGCCUGUGAAGAUAAUGACGGUAGCAGGUAAAGAAACCCCGGCUAACUCCGUGCCAGCAGCCGCGGUAAUACGGAGGGGGUUAGCGUUGUUCGGAAUUACUGGGCGUAAAGCGCACGUAGGCGGACCAGAAGUUGGGGGUGAAAUCCCGGGGCUCAACCCCGGAACUGUCUCCAAAACUAUUGGUCUAGAGUUCGAGAGAGGUGAGUGGAAUUCCAAGUGUAGAGGUGAAAUUCGUAGAUAUUUGGAGGAACACCAGUGGCGAAGGCGGCUCACUGGCUCGAUACUGACGCUGAGGUGCGAAAGUGUGGGG
This 393-nucleotide ribosomal RNA is filed under the name uncultured bacterium. RNAcentral's name for it is "bacterial SSU rRNA". It matches the Rfam family "Bacterial small subunit ribosomal RNA", at positions 355 to 766 of the family's 1533-position model. The record is from RNAcentral.